RNAcentral lists this transfer RNA (75 nucleotides) under Pseudomonadota bacterium. Its description in RNAcentral is "Proteobacteria bacterium tRNA-Val". It matches the Rfam family "tRNA". Rfam says of the family: Transfer RNA (tRNA) molecules are approximately 80 nucleotides in length. Their secondary structure includes four short double-helical elements and three loops (D, anti-codon, and T loops). RNAcentral also lists the same sequence under 5 other names. The record is from RNAcentral. Lineage: Bacteria; Pseudomonadati; Pseudomonadota.
AGACUCGUAGCUCAGUGGGAGAGCACUACACUGACACUGUAGGGGUCGGCGGUUCAAUCCCGCCCGGGUCUACCA